AUUGGAGGGCAAGUCUGGUGCCAGCAGCCGCGGUAAUUCCAGCUCCAAUAGCGUAUAUUAAAGUUGUUGCGGUUAAAACGUUCGUAGUUGAAUUUGUGUCCCACACGGGUAAUGCACCCAAGUGCGGGUUUUGCAUUACUUGUUGCUCUGUGCGUUUUGUGUAAAAACAAACGUAUAGUGUGACUUUAAGUGUGACGGAUGUUUUACCGGUGAGGGAAACGACUAAUUAUGCCCCUAUAUUGGCUUUCGGGUUAUAUAUUGGUCAAGCAUAUUAAUACGCCCCUUAUGUUAAAAGACCCAUUUUAGUGCUCUUUACCGAGUGCUAUUGUGGGCCGGUACAAUUACUUUGAACAAAUUAGAGUGCUUAAAGCAGGCUAAAUUUAAUGAAAAUUAAAACGCCUGAAUAUAUUUUGCAUGGAAUAAUGGAAUAUGACCUCUGGUCUAUUUGAUUGGUUUUUAGAUGCCAAGAGGUAAUGAUUAAUAGAAGCAGUUGGGGGCAUUAGUAUUACGAGGCGAGAGGUGAAAUUCGUAGACCCUCGAAAGACUGACUUAAGCGAAAGCAUUUGCCAAGGAUGUUUUCAUUAAUCAAGAACGAAAGUUAGAGGAUCGAAGGCGAUCAGAUACCGCCCUAGUUCUAACCAUAAACGAUGCCAGCUAGCAAUUGAAUGUAGCUACUUAUUUCAGGCUCAUUCAGUCGCUUUCCGGGAAACCAAAGCUUUAGGGCUCCGGGGGAAGUAUGGUUGCAAAGCUGAAACUUAAAGGAAUUGACGGAAGGGCACCACCAGGAGUUGGAGCCUGCGGCUUAAUUUGACUCAACACGGGAAAACUUACCAGGUCCGAACAUAAAUGAGUAAGACAGAUUGAUAGCUCUUUCUCGAAUCUAUGGGUGGUGGUG
RNAcentral lists this ribosomal RNA (895 nucleotides) under Phlebotomus sergenti. Its description in RNAcentral is "SSU rRNA". It matches the Rfam family "Eukaryotic small subunit ribosomal RNA", at positions 547 to 1282 of the family's 1831-position model. Lineage: Eukaryota; Metazoa; Arthropoda; Insecta; Diptera; Psychodidae. The record is from RNAcentral.